Molecule: unclassified non-coding RNA, 412 nt
Filed under: soil metagenome
Description: partial contains 5.8S ribosomal RNA, internal transcribed spacer 2, and large subunit ribosomal RNA
Rfam family: 5.8S ribosomal RNA (bases 1-120)
Source: RNAcentral
GAUGAAGAACGUAGCGAAAUGCGAUACGUAGUGUGAAUUGCAGAAUUCAGUGAACCAUCAAAUCUUUGAACGCAUAUUGCGCUCGAGGCUUCGGCCGAGAGCAUGUCUGCCUCAGCGUCGGUAUUACCCCUCGCUUCUCAACCCCUGGUUGAUGCCUGCCUGCCUUUGCAGUUGGCUAGAAGCGGAUCUGGCUUUCCCAAUUGCCUUUGGUAGUUGGGUCAGCUGAAGCACAGAGGCUUGAGCAAGGACCCUUAUUGGGCUUCAACUGGAUAGGUAGAACUGGUCUUAGGACCAACUACACGAAGUUGUUGCUUGUGGUCUUUGUCUGGAGGCCAGCAGGAAACCUUUAUACCUUCGACCUGAGCUCAGGCAAGACUACCCGCUGAACUUAAGCAUAUCAAUAAGCGGAGGA